Glycine soja is the source of this 1214-nucleotide RNA transcript. RefSeq lists it as uncharacterized. NCBI's taxonomy places the organism in Eukaryota, Viridiplantae, Streptophyta, Magnoliopsida, Fabales, Fabaceae. The transcript is spliced from 9 exons. The record is from RefSeq and is a predicted model, not a curated record.
GGCCUUCGAGUUUGUGGGCAAAGUUCGCGCUUUAUUACUUUAACGCCCUUGGACAUGUUCAAUGAAUGGUGGGCAUUUUGGUAAAAUCAUUCUUCUUGUGCAUAAAAGAAAGACAUGGAUUUUGUGAAGCACAAACAAAUGGCGAGCAGUCUUCUGUCCGUACACCACUUUCUUCCCUCCCAAAGGAGGGAAAAGAAUUGUUCUUGAGUGGUUUCAGGACUUCUAUUUGUGGACAAGUUGUGUGCAAUCCAAGUUUUUGUGGGAGACAAAUAACUAGAAGCCAUGGAAACCGUCUUGUUGUUCACUCACUGCUUGGAAGGAAGGUGAGGUCCGUGAAGAGCAGAGAGACUGUGAUUCCUGAACCAGAUUACAGGAUUCCAAUUGUGCUACUUGGUAUAGCUGGUGGAUUGGCUUACACAGAUAAUUUGGUACCUGCAGUACCUGUUGUCUCCUUGGAUUGCUUCUGUUGUUCCAGACCACUAGAGUGACAUUUGUCUUUGAUGAUGAGGCUCUGGAGGUAAAGAUAGGUGAACAGCUCCAGGAAUCGGGUGAGAAUGCUUUUGUGGGAGGAAAAAAAUGCUGGAAGUACUCAACAUUUGUUAAUUGGGAAUUCUGGUGGCCAAACUUCCCUAUCUUGGUUUACUUCAAGGAGACACAAACAAAGCCUGAGGGACAAAUUCAUUGCUUUCCCAUAAUAUUUAAUGGGAAGCAGCUUUAUGACGUUAUGGUGGAAAGAGCUGGCCCUUCAAAAACUAGUGGACCAAAAGAAUCCUGAGGACUGAGCUGUGUGGUUAGAACCUCAGUUGGGGUAUCUCGGAAACCAUAGAAGUCCACUGCCGACAAAGAGGCUUCUUAAGUUGGGACUGAUAUUUGUUUUCGUCAGUGUAAGAACAGCAUCAAAAUUUCUUGUUUCUCUUCCACGUACUGCUCUCGAGGUUUCAAGAAGCCAGCAAGUUCAAGCUAAACAAAAAAUUCUAUUAUUUGAAGUCUUGUUAGCAUAUAACACUAAUUCAUCUUGUUCCUUUUGAGAUUGACCAGUGAUUGAUUUUACUUCAUUUUGGAAGAUGUAUAAUUUCACAGUACCCAUAUAUUUGACUUAUGUUGGCUUCCACAGAUGAUGUAGUUCUCUGUAUACUUCAGGACUUCGUAUUCGUUAUGACAUAUCAAACAUGAAAAGUUGAUAUACAAAUAUUAUAUAAAUAGAUUUCAAUAUA